Molecule: ribosomal RNA, 457 nt
Filed under: uncultured bacterium
Lineage: Bacteria
Description: bacterial SSU rRNA
Rfam family: Bacterial small subunit ribosomal RNA
Source: RNAcentral
CGCUGGCGGCGUGCUUAACACAUGCAAGUCGAACGGUAAGGCCCUUCGGGGUACACGAGUGGCGAACGGGUGAGUAACGCGUGAGUAACCUGCCCUUCACUCUGGGAUAACAGUUGGAAACGGCUGCUAAUACCGGAUAUUCAGCUCCUGUCGCAUGGUGGGGGUUGGAAAGUUUUGGUGGUGGAGGAUGGGCUCGCGUCCUAUCAGCUUGUUGGUGGGGUGAUGGCCUACCAAGGCGUCGACGGGUAGCCGGCCUGAGAGGGCGACCGGCCACAUUGGGACUGAGAUACGGCCCAAACUCCUACGGGAGGCAGCAGUGGGGAAUAUUGCACAAUGGGCGGAAGCCUGAUGCAGCAACGCCGCGUGCGGGAUGACGGCCUUCGGGUUGUAAACCGCUUUCAGCAGGGACGAAGCGUGAGUGACGGUACCUGCAGAAGAAGCACCGGCUAACUACGUG